This is a long non-coding RNA of Mizuhopecten yessoensis (Yesso scallop), 283 nucleotides long. RefSeq lists it as uncharacterized. The transcript has 3 exons. The record is from RefSeq and is a predicted model, not a curated record. Lineage: Eukaryota; Metazoa; Mollusca; Bivalvia; Pectinida; Pectinidae.
UGCGGUUCUCAAGAGCAUGGAUUCAUUUGUAAAAUAGGAAACUUCACAGAUGAUAACACAACUUCGUAUACGUUAUGUAACAUAACGGAAACGGAAGCAGAUCAGUCGUCUACUGAUGCAACAGAUGGUGAUACCACUACAACCAUGUCAAAUACAGGCCAGAAAAUGGUGGUAGUAAACAGCACAGAUGAAAGGAUGUAUAUAGCGAUUGGAGCCGGAGCAGGGGGAUUCCUCGUGGUCAUACUAGUCGUCAUAAUCAUCAUUUGCACGUGUCGAAAGAGGU